Molecule: ribosomal RNA, 505 nt
Filed under: uncultured bacterium
Lineage: Bacteria
Description: partial 16S ribosomal RNA
Rfam family: Bacterial small subunit ribosomal RNA
Source: RNAcentral
GACGAACGCUGGCGGCGUGCCUAAUACAUGCAAGUGGGACGCAAGGAAACACACUGUGCUUGCACACCGUGUUUUCUUGAGUCGCGAACGGGUGAGUAACGCGUAGGUAACCUGCCUAUUAGCGGGGGAUAACUAUUGGAAACGAUAGCUAAUACCGCAUAAUAUUAAUUAUUGCAUGAUAAUUGAUUGAAAGAUGCAAGCGCAUCACUAGUAGAUGGACCUGCGUUGUAUUAGCUAGUUGGUAAGGUAAGAGCUUACCAAGGCGACGAUACAUAGCCGACCUGAGAGGGUGAUAGGCCACACUGGGACUGAGACACGGCCCAGACUCCUACGGGAGGCAGCAGUAGGGAAUCUUCGGCAAUGGACGAAAGGCUGACCGAGCAACGCCGCGUGAGUGAAGAAGGUUUUCGGAUCGUAAAGCUCUGUUGUAAGUCAAGAAAGUGUGUGAGAGUGGAAAGUUCACACAGUGACGGUAGCUUACCAGAAAGGGACGGCUAACUACGUG